This is an RNA transcript of Ananas comosus (pineapple), 4777 nucleotides long. It is a transcript of the gene named DNA replication ATP-dependent helicase/nuclease DNA2, with no coding region annotated. The transcript has 35 exons. Lineage: Eukaryota; Viridiplantae; Streptophyta; Magnoliopsida; Poales; Bromeliaceae. The record is from RefSeq and is a predicted model, not a curated record.
CUUUUUUCAUUUGGGCGGGAACGCCAUUUUCCGCAUUUCUCCGGCUAUGUUUUCCCUCCCACUCCCUCCUCCCUGCUCUCCGUCUCCCGUCAUUUUUUUUUCUUUUUUCAAAUUUUCCGCUCUCCUCUAUCGCUUUCUCUCCCAGACCCAAAUCGCUGCUAUCGUCCCCGAUCUCGAUUCUUGAAACCCUAACCCUAAUCCCGGGCUCCCAUGGCUCCAAGAAAGCGCUCCUCGUCGUCGUCUUCCUCCUCCUCCUCCUCCGCCUUAAGGAAGGCGAACAACCAACCUUCCCAACCCUCUAAGUUCGGCAUCCAACACUUCUUCGAGCGCCACUCCCAGGCCGCGGCCUCCUCCUCCUCCUCCACCUCCCCUGCUCCUUCAAUCCGUGACCCUAACCCUAAUCCUAACCCUCCUCUCAUCCAUCUUUCCACCGCCGAUCCUCCGCCGCCUCCGCCCACUGUUGCAACGAACGGAGAAGGGACCUCGUCCGAGAUCUCGCCAGAGGCCACCAAAUCGGCCCCUCCCAAGAGAUUCAGAUUCUCCCCCGGGAUGCUCAUAAAGCAGAGCCAGGAUGAUGGGGCUGAUGAGAUCACGUGGAAGAUCUCCCCUGUGAAUGAACGGCUCUGUUCGCUCGCUUCCAAGAAUCAGCUGGGGAUGGCGAGAGUCCUCGCAGAUGUGUCAAGGCCGAAAGGCUCUACGUUUCACCCAUGCUCUCGGAAGGGGAACACUUCUUCCCUGAACGGAAAUAUCAAAGUCUGCCUCUCUACGCCAAAAACAACAUCAGAGGAUAGGCCUUUGAUGUCAUCAAGAAAAACCUCUAUUCAGUAUUCAGAGGUUUGCGAGAGCCGAGGGAGUAAUUGUGAUGCGAAGAAUGAUGGCACGGUAGACUUGAAGAGCCCGUUUAGGACUCCCCCCUCCUUAUCUUAUAUUACGAAUGAGUUAGUUAACGGGGUCACCUGCAAUGGAGGAGCGAACCAGUUGGCUCUUCGUCAACACAAAAAGGCAUUGCUUGAGCUACUGGAUCAAGUGGAAGAUGCAAUUAUGGAAGAACAAGUGCCCAGCGAUCCAAGGCAUCAUGGAGAGAAUGGUGGUAAUGAGGACAAGAUAAGGGAAGUGCCUGAUUUUGCUGAAAUAAGUGCUAAUACUUCAUCUAAGAAGCUCAGUGAUGCUCCUCCAUAUGAUACAUUUCUUGUUUUAGAGGUAUCAGAAAAACAUAGGAGUGGAGAUUCACCAUGUGGCCGUUAUCCUGUUAAGGUACUGCGUUUAUUAAAUGAACAGCGUGGGGAAGAGCGGGCUCUUUAUUUAUACGAUGAGUGGUUCUACAGCCUUAUUGGGGCUGGUGAUACUGUGAAUGUCGUUGGAGAAUUUAAUGACCAAGGAAAAUGCAUUGUCAAUCAUACUAAAAAUCUUGUCAUUGUUCAUCCAGAGAUUCUUAUAUCUGGAACACGGGUUGCUUCUAGCUUCAGUUGUCCUAGAAGAGUUGUCCUUGAUGAGAGAUUAAAAGCAACAGAACAUUCAAUCAGUGCUUUGAUUGGUACCUUGCUGCAUCAAAUCUUUCAGGCUGGGCUUCUUAAGGGUACGCCUUCGAAACUAUUUCUAGAAGAGUAUGCAGGAAAAGUGCUUCAGAAAAACAUUGAGAGUUUAUAUGCAUGUGGAGGAAAUGAGAAAGACAUGCAUACAACUCUUUUUGAAGCAAUUCCUCGAAUAUCAAACUGGUUGACAUGCUUUAGCACGGCAGAGGACUCCAAAAUUGCAACUAUUGAUUUUGGGCAUUGUGACGGAUCAAAGGCUGUUGGGAUAACUGAGGUUGUUGAUAUUGAAGAGAUGGCAUGGGCUCCAAGAUAUGGCUUAAAAGGAAUGAUUGAUGCUUCAGUUUGUGUCAAGAUCAAGUCAGACACUGGUGGUUCAUAUGAGAGACUGAUGCCGUUGGAGUUUAAGACUGGAAAAGGAACUACUGGUCAUUCUGCGAUGGAACACACAGCCCAGGUCAUAUUGUACACUCUUCUAAUGUCUGAAAGCAGAUACUCGAAGAAAGAUAUUGACUCAGGUCUUCUGUAUUACCUUCACACAGAUCAAACAAUGGGUAUCAAAGUUGAGAGAUCUGAUUUGGUUGGGUUAAUAAUGCGCCGAAAUGAGCUUGCAACUGAUAUAUUGAAGGCAUCAAAUACACAAAGUUUUCCUCCAAUGCUACAGAGUCCAACAAUGUGCAAAGGUUGUCGCCACCUAAAUAUCUGCACAGUGUAUCACAAGGCACAGGGAGGCAACAGUGAGAGCAGUGGCCUUGGUGAUGCUUUUGAUAGCCUUGUUAAUCACUUAUCUAGUGCUGACUUUAGUUUUCUCAAACAUUGGGAUCGAUUAAUUGAUCUGGAAGCUAAAGCAUCUCAGGUUGGAAAAAAAGGGUUCUUGCGACCACGUAGUUUAAAUGGCGAGAGCACCAGCACCAGCUUGUCUUCCAUCAUCCUUGAUGGUAGGAAUGAGGUAUCAGUAGAUGCAUCUGGUAAAAGUGACAGGUAUAUAUAUCAUUUUGUGCGUCAAAAGUUGCACCAUGAAGCAAAUGAUGGGGUGGAUUCUCCUGGACCUGGAGUGAACAACCUGGAUUGCGCCCUUCGUUCUGGAGAUUGUGUGGUACUUAGCACGGAAUCUGGGCAUAUUUUAAUUGCUCAAGGGGUCAUAAGUGACAUUAGUUGCCAUCACGUAUCAGUAUCUUUACCCCGUCCUCUAAGGCUUCCAGGAGGUGAUCCUUCAUUAGAGAUGAAAGAUCUCGAACAAGUAGUCUGGCGGAUCGACAAAGAUGAAGUAGCUUCCUCAUAUGCAAUUAUGAGGUUCAAUCUCAUACAACUGUUUGCUCAAAGGCCACAGAGUUCUCUUUUACGGCAGUUGAUCGUUGAUCUCGAGGCUCCCAGGUUUGAUACUGGUGGACUCUUUAGUCAAGACCCUGCAAUAUCAUAUGUAAGAUCAGAAAAGAGUCUAAAUGAUGACCAGCGGAGAUCAAUCCAGAAAAUACUGACGGCAAAAGAUUAUGCUCUUAUCCUAGGGAUGCCUGGAACAGGAAAAACAUUUACCAUGGUGCAUGCUGUAAAGGCAUUGUUGAUAAGAGGAGCUUCCAUUUUAAUUACAUCAUAUACUAAUGCUGCCAUUGAUAAUUUACUUAUUAAAUUGAAAUCUCAGGGUAUUGAUUUUGUGCGUAUUGGAAGGCAUGGAGCCGUGCACCAAGAUGUUCGUUCUCAUUGCUUUUCAGCAAUGGAGGCACAAUCUGUAGAUUACAUUAAACAGCGGAUGAAACACAUACAAAUUGUUGGGGUAACUUGCCUGGGAAUUAAUCAUCCCUUGCUAGCUAAAAAGAAGUUUGACAUCUGCAUUAUGGAUGAGGCUGGACAAACCACAUUACCAGUGUCACUAGGGCCGUUAAUGCUUGCAUCAAAGUUUGUUCUAGUUGGUGACCAUUACCAGCUUCCCCCGCUUGUUCAGAGCACCGAAGCUCAGGAGAGUGGAAUGGGCAUAAGCUUAUUUUGGAGAUUAUCUGAAGCACAUCCUCAGGCCAUUUCAGCCUUGCAAUGCCAGUACCGGAUGAGUGCUGGUAUUAUGGAGUUAUCGAAUGCACUAAUUUAUGGAAAUAGAUUGCGUUGUGGGUCUUCUGAAAUUGCAGAUGCCAAACUGAAAUAUUCGAGCAAUGAACCUGUGGCCUUAUGGCUAAAGGAGAUUAUGGAUCCUGACAGAUCUGCUGUCUUUGUGGACACAGACCAAUUGCCUGCUCCUGAGGAAAAAGAGCGUAAAGCUGUGAGCAAUCCUACUGAAGCAUAUAUUGUAUCGCAGGUCACCGUUGAAUUACUGAAGAGAGGCAUUACUGGAGAUGAAAUUGGUAUAAUCACCCCGUACAACUCACAGGCCAACAUCAUAAGGCAACUGAUUGAUACUUCUGUUGAAGUUCAUACGAUUGACAAAUACCAGGGAAGGGAUAAAGAUUGUGUCAUAGUAUCAUUUGUACGAUCUAGUAAGAAUGUGAAAGCUUGCACAUCAUCCUUGCUUGGAGAUUGGCACAGGAUCAAUGUUGUCCUUACACGCGCAAAAAAGAAGCUUAUUAUGGUUGGUUCUAGCAAAACUUUAUCAGGAAUUCCAUUGCUGAGGCUUCUACUUGAGAAGGUAAAUGAGCAAGAUGGCAUUGUACCUGUAACCAACAAAGAUGUUCAUUUCCUAAAAGAGCUAGGAAAGUGCUCUCAGAUGAAUGUACAGUGAUCCCUUAUAUCCACAAGUUCAUUUUGGAGAUUCCGGCUAGAACUUGUGAGUUAAAAGAAGCUCCAAGUUCUUUCCUUUUCAGUAGCCUUGAACUUCAGUGCUCUGGUCAAACUAAUGCGAGGUUUUACAUAGGGAACUAAAUGAGAAAUGGAAUAUGGAUGGAGGACAGGACAAGAGGCAGAGUUUGGGGCCAGGAUGAGGCCCAGGUUUAGGCACAGCCAUGGAUCUGACAGAGGAAUUCUUAGGCCUGACCCAUUCCCAGCCUUGACUGUUUGGGCCGGAAUUGCCCAGGCUUGUGCUCGCCACGCUGAAAGAGAGUGAUGUUAAUGAGCAAUAUCUCGGAACUUUGAUUAGUAUUAACGGAUCAACAGUGCCAUGCGAUGGUAAUAUCCUUGUAGUUUUGAAGCUCUGUGAUACUUUUUUACUGUAUAGAUAAACAUCUAACCAUCUUUUCCUCAUUUAUUUUCCCCUCUCUUAACCUUAUUAGUUCUUGCUAUUCCUUAAUGAAUGAAGUUAAUGAAUAUCAGUUCUUGCUAUUCCUUAA